GCGCCUUGCCAGCCCGCUCAGAAACUCAAAAGGAAUUGACGGGGGCCCGCACAAGCGGAGGAGCAUGUGGUUUAAUUCGAUGAUACGCGAGGAACCUUACCUGGGCUCGAACGUAAGAUGACUGUAGGUGAAAGCUUACAUCUCUUCGGAGCAUUUUACGAGGUGCUGCAUGGUUGUCGUCAGCUCGUGCCGUGAGGUGUCGGGUUAAGUCCCGUAACGAGCGCAACCCUUGUCCUUAGUUACCAGCACGUUAUGGUGGGCACUCUAAGGAGACUGCCGGUGACAAACCGGAGGAAGGUGGGGAUGACGUCAAGUCAUCAUGGCCCUUACGGCCUGGGCUACACACGUGCUACAAUGGUCGGUACAAAGGGUUGCCAAGCCGCGAGGUGGAGCUAAUCCCAUAAAACCGAUCGUAGUCCGGAUCGCAGUCUGCAACUCGACUGCGUGAAGUCGGAAUCGCUAGUAAUCGUGAAUCAGAAUGUCACGGUGAAUACGUUCCCGGGCCUU
RNAcentral lists this ribosomal RNA (507 nucleotides) under uncultured Pseudomonas sp. RNAcentral describes it as "bacterial SSU rRNA". It matches the Rfam family "Bacterial small subunit ribosomal RNA", at positions 903 to 1382 of the family's 1533-position model. Lineage: Bacteria; Pseudomonadati; Pseudomonadota; Gammaproteobacteria; Pseudomonadales; Pseudomonadaceae. The record is from RNAcentral.